RNAcentral lists this long non-coding RNA (1407 nucleotides) under Mytilus galloprovincialis (Mediterranean mussel). The record is from RNAcentral. Lineage: Eukaryota; Metazoa; Mollusca; Bivalvia; Mytilida; Mytilidae.
AAACACUUCAUACGAAUACUACCAACUGUUUUCUGUACAAAACAAUUAACAAAACCCAAGAAUGAUAUACUAGUAUACAGCAACAAACGAAAACCACCGAAUUAAGGGUGUGUACAUCAGGUGUCUGUGGUCAAGUUUUGUUAUCCAUGAGAAUGAGUUGCGAUUCUCAGCACACGAUGAACCAAUAAUUGUUGGGAUGUGACGUGGAUAGCCUGCGAGAAGCCUUUGACCCACACUGGCACAGGCACUCAUCUCAGAAAAAAACAAACCCUAUAUAUAUAUAUAUACUAGUAUAUACCUGUAUAUAGGAAUAUUUUUUUCUGAGACGAGUCUCAGUAGCAUGGGUUCGAAUCCCGUCGAGGGAAGAACAAAAAAUUUGCGAAAGCAAAUUUACAGAUCUAACAUUGUUGGGUUGAUUUUUAGACGCGUUGUAUAUACAUAAUGUACACAGCCAUGUAUCACCAUCACUGCUGGUGAUCCGAUGCAUAAAUCUGUUGUAGAGUUGUCACUGGCUCAGACGUUCUUAUAUAUAUACUAGCAAAUUUUGACCAAUCAAUUGGUUCUUUAUGUCAGUAUGUUAAACAUAAACUAUGUAAAAGUUAUUUAACAUUUUGGAAUAAACUGAAGUAUCAAACAAUUAACUCCGAAAAAGGGAAGCUUGUUACUUAUUUUUCUAUAAAAAAUUGUUUUAAAAAAGAAAAAUAUUUAGAAUUGCAGGACUUCAAAAAAGGACAGUCAAUUUGUAAGUUAAGAAUAAGCGCUCACUCUUUAAAAAUUGAGACAAACAGAUAUUCAAAAAAACAUAUAGAAAGAUCUGAGCGUCUUUGUUCUAAUUGCUCACUUGGUAAAGUUGAAGAUGAGCUUCAUUUUUUAUUAGAAUGCCCUCGCAAAGUUUAUGAUAUUCAAAGGGGCGAUUUUUUUUAAGACAUUUCUAACAACUGUUAUAAUUUUAUGAAUUUAAAUAAAUCUUCUAAAUUUUUAUGGCUCUUGACCCAAGAAAAUGUUACUCUUAUGGGAAAACUGGGCUGUUAUAUUUGUGACUGUUUUGAAUUAAGGAGAUCAGGUAUGAACACUGACACUAUAAGUCAAGUAAAUAAUUUGAGAAUAAAUACAUAUAUAAUGUAAUUUUAUUAUUCACAACAUAUAUGUGGUUUUUAGCUUGAUUCUGACCAAUGCUUAUAUUCCAAAUUUAUAUGUAUAUGCCUCUAUUAUUGUUGUUGUUACCAAUUAUGUAAAUCAAUUGUGUCUGAUUGUAUGCCCUUUAUAUGGGCCCUGUAAUUUGGGAAAUAAAAAUAUUCUAUUCUAUUCUAUUCUAUUUAGAGCACUGAAGCUCAGAAAUGGCUGUUUUCAGUAAGAUGAUUUGUAAUUCAUUUGUUACAAAUAUUUGCUAUUUGGAAUUAUUUCUAU